GACGAACGCUGGCGGCGUGCUUAACACAUGCAAGUCGAACGGAAAGGCCCUGCUUUUGUGGGGUGCUCGAUUGGCGAACGGGUGAGUAACACGUGAGUAACCUGCCCUUGUCUUUGGGAUAACUUCAGGAAACUGGGGCUAAUACCGGAUAGGAGCUCCUGCUGCAUGGUGGGGGUUGGUAAGUUUCGGCGGUUGGGGAUGGACUCGCGGCUUAUCAGCUUGUUGGUGGGGUAGUGGCUUACCAAGGUUGUGACGGGUAGCCGGCCUGAGAGGGUGACCGGCCACAUUGGGACUGAGAUACGGACCAGACUCCUACGGGAGGCAGCAGUGGGGAAUAUUGCACAAUGGGCGGGAGCCUGAGGCAGCAACGCCGCGUGCGGGAUGACGGCCUUCGGGUUGUAAACCGCUUUCGACUGUGACGAAGCGUGAGUGACGGUAAUGGGUAAAGAAGCACCGGCUAACUACGUG
RNAcentral lists this ribosomal RNA (468 nucleotides) under uncultured bacterium. RNAcentral's name for it is "partial 16S ribosomal RNA". It matches the Rfam family "Bacterial small subunit ribosomal RNA", at positions 28 to 507 of the family's 1533-position model. The record is from RNAcentral.